Molecule: long non-coding RNA, 822 nt
Filed under: Pan troglodytes (chimpanzee)
Lineage: Eukaryota; Metazoa; Chordata; Mammalia; Primates; Hominidae
Description: lincRNA
Source: RNAcentral
UUUCAUCCAUGUCAACCAUGAAAGACAGGGUUGAUCUCAGCCUGAGCUAGAGAUGGAUCCCCAUCCAUGUACCUUUGCUCAACUGUCCUCAGACCAGAUCCAGAAUUCACCCUGCUGUUUCUCCAUGAGUCUGACCUGCAUCAACUGCCUCCCUUAUUCUGGGAUUCCAGUUGUGGAGCUCAAGGACAAGUCCAUUCUGGGCUGGCUGUAUCCAACUUCUUUAGUCCAACUAUAUCCCCACUGGAAGCCAGGCUCUUUCCAACAGCUGUCACCCAUGCCUCUUUCUAUGUUUGUUAUCUGUCUCUAGGUUCUGGUAACUACUUCCUUCCCUUGCCCCUUCUGGCCUAGGGUGCUACAAAUCCCUCCUCCAAAUCCAACUGUCACUAGCCUCAAAGUACUUGUAGCUUCCUCACCUUACUUUCACCUUAAUAAAUAGUCCCCCUACUAUCUCUCUUCAAAGCACCCAAUUUGAGUGUGCCAUCUGUUUCUUGCCAGGAUCCUGGUUGGUACAUCAACCAAGCUGCACAGAUGGAGGAGCACUGUGCUGAACUUUAGGAAUGAAGCCACAGGGCCCUCACUGCCCCCAUAGUCACGUUGGUCAUCUUCUGCCUCCCUGAAAGACUAAAUUCACUCAGUUCAGAUACAUACACAUCCAGACAUGUCAGGGAAAACUCCAUUUUGUAAGGAUCUCUGCUUAAAAUGCCAAAGGUUUGAAAGUUGGCAAACACUUGAGAAAAGCACAGUUCUCUGUCUUACUCUUACUCUAAACUUGGAGAUAUAUGCAUUUUUAAAAUUGUUCAUGUUAGAAUGCUAACGUGUACA